Molecule: long non-coding RNA, 222 nt
Filed under: Marmota monax (woodchuck)
Lineage: Eukaryota; Metazoa; Chordata; Mammalia; Rodentia; Sciuridae
Source: RNAcentral
GCCAUGGAACCAGGAGCAGUGCAAGCUGAUGUUUUCAUUCACACUUUGGGAAAAUGUUACUACACUUUGGGGAGAAAAGAAGAUGUUGCAACAUGGGUAUAUUAGUUACCUAUUGCUUGUGUAACAAAUUCCCACAAACUCAGUGGCUUAACAACACAAAUCUAUUAUCUCACAGUCCUGAAGGUCACAAAUUCAAAAUAAGUCUUAAUGGGCUAAACUCAG